RNAcentral lists this long non-coding RNA (244 nucleotides) under Trifolium pratense (red clover). RNAcentral's name for it is "long non-coding RNA (TPRA_LNC010654)". Lineage: Eukaryota; Viridiplantae; Streptophyta; Magnoliopsida; Fabales; Fabaceae. The record is from RNAcentral.
CCAACCUCUUCACCAUUUAAACAACGAAUCACCACUAAUGAAUUCAUUCGAAUCUCCACAUUCACAUACCCUCUAGUACACGCUCAAGGAAGAUUUUCAUUUGAACCCCAUAGCUUUGCUAUAUAAGCACUAGUAGAACCAAUUUGUUUAGCAAAGCCUCCCAACCAACAAUGACCAAGAUUAUUCCCGAAAAACACCUCCACAACCAGUCAUCUCAAAAUUGGAGUUCGAAUUCAAGAUUUUU